Molecule: ribosomal RNA, 835 nt
Filed under: uncultured Bacteroidota bacterium
Lineage: Bacteria; Pseudomonadati; Bacteroidota
Description: bacterial SSU rRNA
Rfam family: Bacterial small subunit ribosomal RNA
Source: RNAcentral
CAUGGCUCAGGAUGAACGCUAGCUACAGGCUUAACCCUUGCAAGUCGAGGGGAAACGACAUCGAAAGCUUGCUUUUGAUGGGCGUCGACCGGCGCACGGGUGAGUAACGCGUAUCCAACCUGCCCACCACUUGGGGAUAACCUUGCGAAAGUAAGACUAAUACCCAAUGACGUCUCUAGAAGACAUCUGAAAGAGAUUAAAGAUUUAUCGGUGAUGGAUGGGGAUGCGUCUGAUUAGCUUGUUGGCGGGGUAACGACCCACCAAGGCUACGAUCAGUAGGGGUUCUGAGAGGAAGGUCCCCCACAUUGGAACUGAGACACGGUCCAAACUCCUACGGGAGGCAGCAGUGAGGAAUAUUGGUCAAUGGACGAGAGUCUGAACCAGCCAAGUAGCGUGCAGGAUGACGGCCCUAUGGGUUGUAAACUGCUUUUAUAAGGGAAUAAAGUGAGUCUCGUGAGGCUUUUUGCAUGUACCUUAUGAAUAAGGACCGGCUAAUUCCGUGCCAGCAGCCGCGGUAAUACGGAAGGUCCGGGCGUUAUCCGGAUUUAUUGGGUUUAAAGGGAGCGUAGGCCGGAGAUUAAGCGUGUUGUGAAAUGUAGACGCUCAACGUCUGCACUGCAGCGCGAACUGGUUUCCUUGAGUACGCACAAAGUGGGCGGAAUUCGUGGUGUAGCGGUGAAAUGCUUAGAUAUCACGAAGAACUCCGAUUGCGAAGGCAGCUCACUGGAGCGCAACUGACGCUGAAGCUCGAAAGUGCGGGUAUCGAACAGGAUUAGAUACCCUGGUAGUCCGCACGGUAAACGAUGGAUGCCCGCUGUUGGUCUGAAUAGGUCAG